UAUCCAGAACUCUAAUUCUAUUGCAAUUCCAACUUUUGAUCGGAGAACCGAUUUCUGGAGUGCCGUCGAAGUUCAGAUUCGUUUAUCCAGCCGCCGAUAAAUGAUUAUUUCCAGCGAGCUUCUGGUGGAAGCCAACGUCUCUGUCGAAUAGGUUGAAGUCUUCUCAACAGCUAUAAAUAUGUAUUUGAUCAUAAGAGUUGGCGUCUUUGGAGACCUUUGCAAUGAAAUGAGAUGAAUGUGCAAGAGAAUGCAGAGAACGGAUGUGGAUUAUGGGAUGUGGAUUAUGGUGAAUAAUAUGAAUUGUUCACCUUUAGCAUGUGAAAUUGGAUUUGUUAAGUUAGUGGCAAUGAUGUUUUUCAAAAAAAAAAAAAGUUAGUGGCAAUGAUGAUGGUGAUGAUAGGUGGAAGGUGAUGAUGGUACAAUUGUCUUGAGAAACACCAAGCAUGGCAUGAUGCUCUUGAUUUGAUAAAAAAAAAGGCAUGAUGUUCUUGAUAUACACAACAUUGCUGCUAUGUGAUUUUUAAUGGCUUUCUGCUAUGUAAUCUCUAACAAUUAUUCAAUCCAAAUUAUAAUAAAAAUAUAUCUUCUCA
This is a long non-coding RNA of Brassica napus (rape), 590 nucleotides long. RefSeq lists it as uncharacterized. The record is from RefSeq and is a predicted model, not a curated record. NCBI's taxonomy places the organism in Eukaryota, Viridiplantae, Streptophyta, Magnoliopsida, Brassicales, Brassicaceae. The transcript has 3 exons.